Molecule: non-coding RNA, 29 nt
Filed under: Bombyx mori (domestic silkworm)
Lineage: Eukaryota; Metazoa; Arthropoda; Insecta; Lepidoptera; Bombycidae
Source: RNAcentral
AGUUCCAUGAGUAGGUCUAUAGCAAAUAC